Molecule: transfer RNA, 72 nt
Filed under: archaeon
Lineage: Archaea
Also listed under: 1 other name
Description: tRNA-Gly
Rfam family: tRNA
About the family: Transfer RNA (tRNA) molecules are approximately 80 nucleotides in length. Their secondary structure includes four short double-helical elements and three loops (D, anti-codon, and T loops). Further hydrogen bonds mediate the characteristic L-shaped molecular structure. tRNAs have two regions of fundamental functional importance: the anti-codon, which is responsible for specific mRNA codon recognition, and the 3' end, to which the tRNAs corresponding amino acid is attached (by aminoacyl-tRNA synthetases). tRNAs cope with the degeneracy of the genetic code in two manners: having more than one tRNA (with a specific anti-codon) for a particular amino acid; and 'wobble' base-pairing, i.e. permitting non-standard base-pairing at the 3rd anti-codon position.
Source: RNAcentral
GCGCCGGUGGUCCAAUGGCUAAGACUUCAGCCUUCCAAGCUGAUUAUCUGGGUUCGAGUCCCAGCCGGCGCA